AAGGGAAUCUUCCGCAAUGGGCGAAAGCCUGACGGAGCAACGCCGCGUGAGUGAUGAAGGUCUUCGGAUCGUAAAACUCUGGUAUUAGGGAAGAACAAAUGUGUAAGUAACUAUGCACGUCUUGACGGUACCUAAUCAGAAAGCCACGGCUAACUACGUGCCAGCAGCCGAGGUAAUACGUAGGUGGCAAGCGGUAUCCGGAAUUAUUGGGCGUAAAGCGCGCGUAGGCGGUUUUUUAAGUCUGAUGUGAAAGCCCACGGCUCAACCGUGGAGGGUCAUUGGAAACUGGAAAACUUGAGUGCAGAAGAGGAAAGUGGAAUUCCAUGUGUAGCGGUGAAAUUCGCAGAGAUAUGGAGGAACACCAGUGGCGAAGGCGACUUUCUGGUCUGUAACUGACGCUGAUGUGCGAAAGCGUGGGGAUCAAACAGU
Molecule: ribosomal RNA, 429 nt
Filed under: Actinomycetes bacterium
Lineage: Bacteria; Bacillati; Actinomycetota; Actinomycetes
Description: Actinobacteria bacterium partial 16S ribosomal RNA
Rfam family: Bacterial small subunit ribosomal RNA
Source: RNAcentral